Molecule: RNA transcript, 4082 nt
Organism: Oryza sativa Japonica Group (Japanese rice)
Lineage: Eukaryota; Viridiplantae; Streptophyta; Magnoliopsida; Poales; Poaceae
Source: RefSeq, a predicted model, not a curated record
GAUUUGAGAAGCUGCUGCUGCUCACCUCCCCUCUCCUCCCCACAAUCGAAUCGAAUCGAAUCCUCCUCCUCCAGGCUCCAAGCCGAAACCAAACCCUAGCCCCGUCGAUCUCCCUCUCCUCGCAUGGCGGCUCCCAAGCCCAUCUGGGUGCGCCAGGCCGAGGAGGCCAAGCUCAAGUCCGAGGCCGAGACCGCCGCCGCCGCCAAGGCCGCCUUCGACGCCACCUUCAAGGCCCUCUCCGCAUCCGCCGCCGACGACCCCGACCAGGACGACGACCUCCACCGCCCCUCUUCCCCGGCCCAAGCCUCUCGGGACGCCUACUCCGACGCAGACGACGACGACGACGACCGCCCCCAUGCCCCUCCCGGUCCAGUCGACCCCUCCAAGUCCUCCGCCGCCGGCCCCGGCAUCGCUGGUGGUUCCGCUGGUGCCCCCGCCACCUUCACCGUCGUCUCCAAGGACCGGGACUCGCGCAGGGUCCCAACCGGCGGCGCGCGCGUCCGCGUCCGCGUCUCCCCGGCAGCUGGCGUCGGCGGCGACGACCUCGAAGGUGCAGUCAAGGACAACGGCGAUGGCUCCUACGCCGUCACCUACGUCGUCCCUAAGCGCGGUAACUACAUGGUCCACGUCGACCUCGACGGGUCGCCCGUCAUGGGGAGCCCCUUCCCCGUCUUCUUCAGCGCAUCCAACACUGCCGCCACCGUCGUCACCUCCACCUUCCCGCCCACGCUUCCGGCUGUCUCCUCCGCCUACCCCAACAUGGUCAACCAGACCAUGCCCAACAUGCCAAACUACGCUGGCGCCCUCUCGGCUGCCUUCCCCAGCCUUCUCGGCCUCCUCCCUGCUGCGUCUACUGGUGCCUCUGGUGGGGUUGUGCUGCCUGGUGUUGGUGCCUCGCUUGGGGAGAUUUGCCGGGAGCACAUCAACGGCAAGUGCACCAAGGCCACAGACUGUAGCAAGCUCAACCACCCGCCACAGCAGCUGCUCAUGUCCGUGCUGGCUGCCACUACAUCUGUCGGUGCGCUCAGCCAGGCGCCCAUGGCACCAUCUGCUGCUGCCAUGGCUGCUGCUCAGGCCAUCAUGGCUGCACAGGCACUGCAGGCACAUGCUGCGCAGAUGCAGGCUGAUUCCAAGGCUGCAGGAGGGGAGGCUUCAGGUUCAACAGAUAAAACUGAUAAAGGUGAUGUUCUGAAGAAAAUGGUUCAGAUUAGCAACCUAAGCCCACUUCUUACGGUGGAUCAUAUUAAGCAGCUAUUUGGAUACUGUGGCAAAGUGGUUGAUUGCACCAUCACAGACUCAAAACAUAUUGCCUAUGUAGAAUACUCCAAACAAGAAGAAGCAACUGCAGCGCUGGCACUCAACAACAUGGAUGUUGGUGGUCGCCCCUUGAAUGUUGAGAUGGCCAAAUCCCUCCCUCCCAAAACUAAUUUGGCAAAUAGCAAUCUGCCCAUGAUGAUGCAGCAAGCUGUUCAGUUGCAACAGAUGCAAUUCCAGCAGGCUCUGAUAAUGCAGCAGACAAUAGCAGCUCAACAGGCUGCUGCGCGCGCAGCCACCAUGAAAUCCGCCACUGAAGCAGCAGCUGCAAGGGCUGCUGAGAUAAGCAGGAAGUUGAAAGCGGAGGGCUUUGGUGGGGAAACUGUCGAAGAGAAGGAUGCCAGAGGGAAGUCAAGGUCGCCAUCACCUUCUGCCCGUAGAUCGAAAUCUCGGUCAAGAUCACCUAUCAAGUACCGCCGGAGCAGGCGGUCUAGAUCAUACUCUCCGCCGGUUAGACACACACGAGGGCGUAGAUCACGAUCACCAUCAAGAUCUUACCACUCAAAGUAUGGUAGUGAUCGAUCUUAUCGGGAUGAUAGAGACAAGUAUGGCAGGUCUGGGAGAAGAGAGAGCGACCGAUCUCGUGACCACUAUUCAUCUAGCUCAAGAAGAAACAGAAGUAGAAGUAUAAGUCCAAGGCAUAAGAAGUCCUCCAGAUCUGAUUCUCGGUCACCCAAGCGACACAGAGAAGAAAGUUUAAGCCCUUCGAAAUCACGGAGGUCAGCUCGAGCUGGUUCAAGGUCACCAGGACAGCACAAAGGAAGCAAAUUGUCGCCAACUCGUGACCAUCAUUCUUCUCGCCGUAGUAGGCGUUCUAGAUCCAGAUCUCAAGAGAAGAAUCGCAACAGUGAUAAAAAGGACAGCAAAAAAUCUGAGAUGGAGGAUAAAAAAAGGAGAUCUGAUAGAGGCAAUAGAGGUGACAAAGAUGAAAAGUAUCUAAAGGAUCCAAUGGAAGAUAAGAAACUAGAUGUGUCUUCUGUUGCUCAUAAAAGGAGUUCAUCCGCAUCAGAAGAUGAAAUGCUGAAUAGUAAUUCCAAGAGAUCUAAACAUGAUGCUGCUUUGGAGUGUCAUGAGAGGAAGGAUGAGGAUCAUAUUGAGGAGGACAGAAGGGAUUUGGAUUCUGUGGGAUCAAAAUCUGAGAAGAGAAGCCUAGGAAAUGGUGAUCAUGAAAAACAAAAUCAUGAUACAAAUAGGAAAACAGACAAGAGUCAUGACAGGGAUGAUUCUUCUCGUAAGGACAGAAAAUACAGAGAGGAUGAAUCAAGACAUUCUAGAGAUAGAUGUUCCCGUCAUUCAUCUUCAAGAUCCCAUAGAAGUUCAAGGCAUUCAAGGGAAAAGUAUCAUGGAGAUACCACUGAUCAGCAUAAAUCAAAGAAAUCAGAAGAGGGUUCCAAGUCUAGGAAGGAUGAUUGUCUCCUUGAUGAUACCUUGUCUUCAGAUAGAAGGAAAGUUCAGAGCGAGGACUCUCCUCGUAGGAAGCAUAACCAGUUAGCAGCUAGUUCAGAUGUUCAUGGCAUCAACCAUGAUACUGGAGUUAAGGUGCCAAAUGAUUUCUCAGAAGCUGAUCAGGGUAUCCAGGAAGCCAAGCAGGUCGUUCAUGAAACUGAUAUGUCCUCUGCACCACGCCUUGAGGACCCAUUUCUUGCACAAGACAAACAAGAUAAACCUAUUGUUGCUGGCCUUAAUGGGCUACAUGAACCUGGAGUUGAUGGUGCAUUUGUGGGCACUGAAGAGUCUGCUAUAUGAUAUUAACCAGAGUGUUUACUUGAUGGUUGCUAUAUCAUUGAGUUGGCUGAUCACAGGAUCUACUUGAUCAGUGGAUGCAGAUAGAUGAAUUGGUGUUUGUUAUCUUCCUUUCUGAUUUAGGAGUUUUAUUUGCAGGAUAUGAAGAACAUGGAGAACUUGAGUGCUGAUCGAAGUGUUCAUCUGAUCUAUAAAAAUGUACUCAUUAACUCUUCAGAUGGAGAUUUUUUCUGUGGAGUAAACUUCUAGAUGUAACGCUGGAGCUUGUGAGGUGAUUUAGUACUGUGAGGUCAAACCAACCAUAUAUUUGUCGUUGCAGGCUUGUGGUUCCAUGAAGAGUUGGAGCUCAUUCUGGGGUGUCAAUUGAAGAUACAAGGGAGGUCACACUUUUCCGUACUCAAGGUCCAUCCGAGAGGCCAAUGUAAGUGACUGGUGAGGAAAUUGUUGAUAAAGUCCGAGCAACCUUUUACCCUUGAUAGUUCCAGAGAUAAGAAGCAUAUCUUUGAAAAGUAGCAUUCCUUGUGUCUUUCUUUUGUGACUUUGAAUUUGUGUUGGUUUAGUUACUAAGCACUGCCUCUGCAAAGAGAUAUUGGUGCUUUACUUGCUGUGAUUGGUGGUGUCAUUGGAAAACCUGUGCAGGUUUUUCAUAGGCGGUCGCUGUUGGAGUAUAUCUGAGGGGAGGUUUUUCAGUUAAGUCUAAGAGCUGCCUGCCUGUAGAAGAGAGCCACAUCACUACAGCAGAGGCGGCUCUUCAUUCUUGCUAAAAGGUUUUAUGAUGAGGAAACUUGCUGCAAAGGCAUACUCGUUCAAGGGGAGGCUACCUACAAAUCCUGACCUAACCCGUACUGAUUGUAACUAUGAUCUAUAUAUUAAUAGUAAGUUAAUAUCAGAUCUACACCUUAAAAUAUAAAUUGAUAUGAUGAGUGGAGAGAACAAAGCAGCAACAUAUACUAAAUAUCGAUGACUUUGCAUGUCGACACCUUAUUGGGUCCUUUUAUAUUUGAUUGAUGAUGAUGUUUCAUCUA